Molecule: ribosomal RNA, 2771 nt
Filed under: Escherichia coli
Lineage: Bacteria; Pseudomonadati; Pseudomonadota; Gammaproteobacteria; Enterobacterales; Enterobacteriaceae
Description: partial 23S ribosomal RNA
Rfam family: Bacterial large subunit ribosomal RNA
Source: RNAcentral
GUUAAGCGACUAAGCGUACACGGUGGAUGCCCUGGCAGUCAGAGGCGAUGAAGGACGUGCUAAUCUGCGAUAAGCGUCGGUAAGGUGAUAUGAACCGUUAUAACCGGCGAUUUCCGAAUGGGGAAACCCAGUGUGAUUCGUCACACUAUCAUUAACUGAAUCCAUAGGUUAAUGAGGCGAACCGGGGGAACUGAAACAUCUAAGUACCCCGAGGAAAAGAAAUCAACCGAGAUUCCCCCAGUAGCGGCGAGCGAACGGGGAGCAGCCCAGAGCCUGAAUCAGUGUGUGUGUUAGUGGAAGCGUCUGGAAAGGCGCGCGAUACAGGGUGACAGCCCCGUACACAAAAAUGCACAUGCUGUGAGCUCGAUGAGUAGGGCGGGACACGUGGUAUCCUGUCUGAAUAUGGGGGGACCAUCCUCCAAGGCUAAAUACUCCUGACUGACCGAUAGUGAACCAGUACCGUGAGGGAAAGGCGAAAAGAACCCCGGCGAGGGGAGUGAAAAAGAACCUGAAACCGUGUACGUACAAGCAGUGGGAGCACGCUUAGGCGUGUGACUGCGUACCUUUUGUAUAAUGGGUCAGCGACUUAUAUUCUGUAGCAAGGUUAACCGAAUAGGGGAGCCGAAGGGAAACCGAGUCUUAACUGGGCGUUAAGUUGCAGGGUAUAGACCCGAAACCCGGUGAUCUAGCCAUGGGCAGGUUGAAGGUUGGGUAACACUAACUGGAGGACCGAACCGACUAAUGUUGAAAAAUUAGCGGAUGACUUGUGGCUGGGGGUGAAAGGCCAAUCAAACCGGGAGAUAGCUGGUUCUCCCCGAAAGCUAUUUAGGUAGCGCCUCGUGAAUUCAUCUCCGGGGGUAGAGCACUGUUUCGGCAAGGGGGUCAUCCCGACUUACCAACCCGAUGCAAACUGCGAAUACCGGAGAAUGUUAUCACGGGAGACACACGGCGGGUGCUAACGUCCGUCGUGAAGAGGGAAACAACCCAGACCGCCAGCUAAGGUCCCAAAGUCAUGGUUAAGUGGGAAACGAUGUGGGAAGGCCCAGACAGCCAGGAUGUUGGCUUAGAAGCAGCCAUCAUUUAAAGAAAGCGUAAUAGCUCACUGGUCGAGUCGGCCUGCGCGGAAGAUGUAACGGGGCUAAACCAUGCACCGAAGCUGCGGCAGCGACGCUGAUGCGUUGUUGGGUAGGGGAGCGUUCUGUAAGCCUGCGAAGGUGUGCUGUGAGGCAUGCUGGAGGUAUCAGAAGUGCGAAUGCUGACAUAAGUAACGAUAAAGCGGGUGAAAAGCCCGCUCGCCGGAAGACCAAGGGUUCCUGUCCAACGUUAAUCGGGGCAGGGUGAGUCGACCCCUAAGGCGAGGCCGAAAGGCGUAGUCGAUGGGAAACAGGUUAAUAUUCCUGUACUUGGUGUUACUGCGAAGGGGGGACGGAGAAGGCUAUGUUGGCCGGGCGACGGUUGUCCCGGUUUAAGCGUGUAGGCUGGUUUUCCAGGCAAAUCCGGAAAAUCAAGGCUGAGGCGUGAUGACGAGGCACUACGGUGCUGAAGCAACAAAUGCCCUGCUUCCAGGAAAAGCCUCUAAGCAUCAGGUAACAUCAAAUCGUACCCCAAACCGACACAGGUGGUCAGGUAGAGAAUACCAAGGCGCUUGAGAGAACUCGGGUGAAGGAACUAGGCAAAAUGGUGCCGUAACUUCGGGAGAAGGCACGCUGAUAUGUAGGUGAAGUCCCUCGCGGAUGGAGCUGAAAUCAGUCGAAGAUACCAGCUGGCUGCAACUGUUUAUUAAAAACACAGCACUGUGCAAACACGAAAGUGGACGUAUACGGUGUGACGCCUGCCCGGUGCCGGAAGGUUAAUUGAUGGGGUCAGCGCAAGCGAAGCUCUUGAUCGAAGCCCCGGUAAACGGCGGCCGUAACUAUAACGGUCCUAAGGUAGCGAAAUUCCUUGUCGGGUAAGUUCCGACCUGCACGAAUGGCGUAAUGAUGGCCAGGCUGUCUCCACCCGAGACUCAGUGAAAUUGAACUCGCUGUGAAGAUGCAGUGUACCCGCGGCAAGACGGAAAGACCCCGUGAACCUUUACUAUAGCUUGACACUGAACAUUGAGCCUUGAUGUGUAGGAUAGGUGGGAGGCUUUGAAGUGUGGACGCCAGUCUGCAUGGAGCCGACCUUGAAAUACCACCCUUUAAUGUUUGAUGUUCUAACGUUGACCCGUGAUCCGGGUUGCGGACAGUGUCUGGUGGGUAGUUUGACUGGGGCGGUCUCCUCCUAAAGAGUAACGGAGGAGCACGAAGGUUGGCUAAUCCUGGUCGGACAUCAGGAGGUUAGUGCAAUGGCAUAAGCCAGCUUGACUGCGAGCGUGACGGCGCGAGCAGGUGCGAAAGCAGGUCAUAGUGAUCCGGUGGUUCUGAAUGGAAGGGCCAUCGCUCAACGGAUAAAAGGUACUCCGGGGAUAACAGGCUGAUACCGCCCAAGAGUUCAUAUCGACGGCGGUGUUUGGCACCUCGAUGUCGGCUCAUCACAUCCUGGGGCUGAAGUAGGUCCCAAGGGUAUGGCUGUUCGCCAUUUAAAGUGGUACGCGAGCUGGGUUUAGAACGUCGUGAGACAGUUCGGUCCCUAUCUGCCGUGGGCGCUGGAGAACUGAGGGGGGCUGCUCCUAGUACGAGAGGACCGGAGUGGACGCAUCACUGGUGUUCGGGUUGUCAUGCCAAUGGCACUGCCCGGUAGCUAAAUGCGGAAGAGAUAAGUGCUGAAAGCAUCUAAGCACGAAACUUGCC